CUACGGGGGGCUGCAGUGAGGAAUUUUGCGCAAUGGGGGAAACCCUGACGCAGCAACGCCGCGUGAGUGAUGAAGGCCUUCGGGUCGUAAAACUCUGUCAAGUGGGAAGAACCUAUGUAAGGUUAAUACCCUUAUGUACUGACGGUACCACUGAAGGAAGCACCGGCUAACUCCGUGCCAGCAGCCGCGGUAAUACGGAGGGUGCAAGCGUUAUUCGGAAUUAUUGGGCGUAAAGGGCGCGCAGGCGGUUUUGUAAGUCAGAUGUGAAAGCCCGGGGCUUAACCUCGGAAGUGCAUUUGAUACUGCAAGACUUGAGUAUGGGAGGGGGAAGUGGAAUUCCUGGUGUAGAGGUGAAAUUCGUAGAUAUCAGGAGGAACACCAGUGGCGAAGGCGACUUCCUGGACCAAUACUGACGCUGAGGCGCGAAGGCGUGGGGAGCAAACAGGAUUAGAUACCCUCGUAGUC
Molecule: ribosomal RNA, 465 nt
Filed under: uncultured bacterium
Lineage: Bacteria
Description: partial 16S ribosomal RNA
Rfam family: Bacterial small subunit ribosomal RNA
Source: RNAcentral